GUGUCAGCAGCCGCGGUAAUACGGAGGGUGCGAGCGUUGUUCGGAAUUAUUGGGCGUAAAGCGCGUGCAGGCGGUCGAGUAAGUCAGAUGUGAAAGCCUUUCGCUUAACGGAAGAAGUGCAUUUGAAACUGCUCGGCUGGAGUACGGGAGAGGAGAGUGGAAUUCCCGGUGUAGAGGUGAAAUUCGUAGAUAUCGGGAGGAACACCAGUGGCGAAGGCGGCUCUCUGGUCCGAUACUGACGCUGAGACGCGAAAGCGUGGGGAGCAAACAGGAUUAGAUACCCUGGUAGUCCACGCCGUAAACGAUGGGCACUAGGUGUAGGAGGUAUUGACCCCUUCUGUGCCGGAGCUAACGCAUUAAGUGCCCCGCCUGGGGAGUACGGCCGCAAGGCUAAAACUUAAAUGAAUUGACGGGG
Molecule: ribosomal RNA, 415 nt
Filed under: uncultured prokaryote
Description: bacterial SSU rRNA
Rfam family: Bacterial small subunit ribosomal RNA
Source: RNAcentral